UAGGGAAUAUUGCACAAUGGGCGAAAGCCUGAUGCAGCGACGCCGCGUGAGUGAUGAAGGCCUUCGGGUCGUAAAGCUCUGUUGUACGGGAAGAAAUGUUCAUGACUAAUACUCAUGAAUUUUGACGGUACCGUAUCAGAAAGGACCGGCUAACUUCGUGCCAGCAGCCGCGGUAAUACGAGGGGUCCUAGCGUUAAUCGGAAUUACUGGGCGUAAAGCGCACGUAGGCGGAUUUGUCAGUCAGGGGUGAAAUCCCGAGGCUCAACCUCGGAACUGCCUCCGAUACAGCAAGUCUCGAGUCCGGAAGAGGUGAGUGGAAUUCCUAGUGUAGAGGUGAAAUUCGUAGAUAUUAGGAAGAACACCAGUGGCGAAGGCGGCUCACUGGUCCGGUACUGACGCUGAGGUGCGAAAGCGUGGGGAGCAAACAGGAUUAGAUACCCCCGUAGUCCCUGAGCGGGCUGGCAAGGCGCAU
RNAcentral lists this ribosomal RNA (472 nucleotides) under uncultured bacterium. RNAcentral's name for it is "bacterial SSU rRNA". It matches the Rfam family "Bacterial small subunit ribosomal RNA", at positions 355 to 825 of the family's 1533-position model. The record is from RNAcentral.